This is a long non-coding RNA of Cervus elaphus (red deer), 377 nucleotides long. RefSeq lists it as uncharacterized. Lineage: Eukaryota; Metazoa; Chordata; Mammalia; Artiodactyla; Cervidae. The record is from RefSeq and is a predicted model, not a curated record. The transcript has 3 exons.
UUCCGGCAGAGAGAUCCCGAUGUUUUUUUCCUGCGCUGCUCCGUCGUUGUGGAAAGAGGCUGCAGCCAGCUCAGCAAAACCCCGACCAAAAGUCAAAGGGCCCUCUGAAUAGAAGGAUCUGAGAGGACACCGGAAUAGUGCCGUCUGACACGUCAGUUCCUCAGAAAUGUUUGUCCUCCCUCAGAAAUGUUUGUCCUGCCUGGCUCCCCUCAGGGACAGAAAAUAUCAGUUUUCUCUCUUCAUCUCCGUCACUUGUGAAAAAAAUAAAUGCCUCGAACCAGGCCCAGAGGAUUGUGCCCUUAGUUGUUCUCCACAGUGCCGGUUAUUGGGUGACGGAAUGCUUGCCAAAUGGUAAAUAAAUCUGUCCACAGCUUUUG